Molecule: long non-coding RNA, 537 nt
Organism: Balaenoptera ricei (Rice's whale)
Lineage: Eukaryota; Metazoa; Chordata; Mammalia; Artiodactyla; Balaenopteridae
Exons: 2
Source: RefSeq, a predicted model, not a curated record
UGCCGUGGAGCAACUAAGCCCGUGUGCCACAACUACUGAGUCUGCGCUCUACAGCCCACGAGCCACAACUACUGAGCCCGCGUGCCACAACUACUGAAGCCCGUGGGCCUAGAGCCCGUGCUCUGCAACAAGAGAAGCCACCGCAGUGAGAAGCCCGUGCGCCACAACGAAGAGUAACCCCCGCUCACCGCAACUAGAGAAAGCCGCGCACAGCAACGAAGAACCAAAGCAGAAAAAAAAAAAAAAAAAAAAGGAAUAGUGAAAACAGGAUGAAGAUAAUGGGCAGGAUUAUCCAACCUGCCUGCAUUUUUUCUGCUGUGAUAUUCCUCCUGCAUGGGUGUGAUUACACAGAAAGUGACAAGAGAUACUGUGUGAAUCCAGUGAAGAUAAAUGUCAUCAUCACAGCAGGAAGUUAAAAUGGGACUUGAUGAUGCAGAAAAUGGCGUUCAAGUCAGUGGAUACUGACCAGGCCUGUCAGCAGUCUGCCUGAAAAUAACAAGGAGGAAUUUUUUAAAAUAAAUUUAUUUAUUUAAUUUA